RNAcentral lists this transfer RNA (72 nucleotides) under Ictidomys tridecemlineatus (thirteen-lined ground squirrel). RNAcentral's name for it is "Spermophilus tridecemlineatus (thirteen-lined ground squirrel) tRNA". It matches the Rfam family "tRNA". From Rfam's summary of the family: Transfer RNA (tRNA) molecules are approximately 80 nucleotides in length. The record is from Rfam by way of RNAcentral. Lineage: Eukaryota; Metazoa; Chordata; Mammalia; Rodentia; Sciuridae.
GGGGUUGUGGCUUGGUGGUAGAGCACUUGUUUAGCAUGUGUGAGGACCUGGGUUCGAUUCUCAGCACCACCA